RNAcentral lists this ribosomal RNA (635 nucleotides) under uncultured bacterium. RNAcentral's name for it is "bacterial SSU rRNA". The stretch from base 1 to 539 matches the Rfam family "Bacterial small subunit ribosomal RNA", at positions 338 to 873 of the family's 1533-position model. The record is from RNAcentral.
CCUACGGGAGGCAGCAGUGGGGAAUUUUGGACAAUGGACGCAAGUCUGAUCCAGCCAUGCCGCGUGCGGGAAGAAGGCCUUCGGGUUGUAAACCGCUUUUGUCAGGGAAGAAAAGGUUCUGGUUAAUACCUGGGACUCAUGACGGUACCUGAAGAAUAAGCACCGGCUAACUACGUGCCAGCAGCCGCGGUAAUACGUAGGGUGCAAGCGUUAAUCGGAAUUACUGGGCGUAAAGCGUGCGCAGGCGGUUAUGCAAGACAGAUGUGAAAUCCCCGGGCUCAACCUGGGAACUGCAUUUGUGACUGCAUAGCUAGAGUACGGUAGAGGGGGAUGGAAUUCCGCGUGUAGCAGUGAAAUGCGUAGAUAUGCGGAGGAACACCGAUGGCGAAGGCAAUCCCCCUGGACCUGUACUGACGCUCAUGCACGAAAGCGUGGGGAGCAAACAGGAUUAGAUACCCUGGUAGUCCACGCCCUAAACGAUGUCAACUGGUUGUUGGGAGGGUUUUCUUCUCAGUACGAGACUACGCGUGAGUGCCGCCGUGGGAGGUACGGUCCGGUCGAGGUUAGUUAACGUUAAAGGUUAAGUUAGUACGGCGUUGGNGGACGUUGCCGACGGACGACGACGAGGGAGGAGG